UACGUAGGGAGCAAGCGUUGUUCGGAUUUACUGGGCGUAAAGGGCGCGUAGGCGGCAAUUCAAGUCAGCUGUGAAAUCUCCGGGCUUAACUCGGAACGGUCAGCUGAUACUGCUUUGCUAGAGUGCGGAAGGGGCAAUCGGAAUUCUCGGUGUAGCGGUGAAAUGCGUAGAUAUGCGGAGGAACACCGAUGGCGAAGGCAAUCCCCUGGACCUGUACUGACGCUCAUGCACGAAAGCGUGGGGAGCAAACAGG
Molecule: ribosomal RNA, 253 nt
Filed under: uncultured bacterium
Lineage: Bacteria
Description: partial 16S ribosomal RNA
Rfam family: Bacterial small subunit ribosomal RNA
Source: RNAcentral